This 497-nucleotide ribosomal RNA is filed under the name uncultured bacterium. RNAcentral's name for it is "partial 16S ribosomal RNA". It matches the Rfam family "Bacterial small subunit ribosomal RNA", at positions 28 to 507 of the family's 1533-position model. The record is from RNAcentral.
GAUGAACGCUGGCGGCGUGCCUAAUACAUGCAAGUCUAGCGAACAGAUAAGGAGCUUGCUCCUUUGACGUUAGCGGCGGACGGGUGAGUAACACGUGGGUAACCUACCUAUAAGACUGGAAUAACUCCGGGAAACCGGGGCUAAUGCCGGAUAACAUUUAGAACCGCAUGGUUCUAAAGUGAAAGAUGGUUUUGCUAUCACUUAUAGAUGGACCCGCGCCGUAUUAGCUAGUUGGUAAGGUAACGGCUUACCAAGGCAACGAUACGUAGCCGACCUGAGAGGGUGAUCGGCCACACUGGAACUGAGACACGGUCCAGACUCCUACGGGAGGCAGCAGUAGGGAAUCUGCCGCAAUGGGCGAAAGCCUGACGGAGCAACGCCGCGUGAGUGAUGAAGGUCUUCGGAUCGUAAAACUCCGUUAUUAGGGAAGAACAAAUGUGUAAGUAACUGUGCACGUCUUGACGGUACCUAAUCAGAAAGCCACGGCUAACUACGUG